Molecule: long non-coding RNA, 1310 nt
Organism: Sus scrofa (pig)
Lineage: Eukaryota; Metazoa; Chordata; Mammalia; Artiodactyla; Suidae
Source: RefSeq, a predicted model, not a curated record
AAGGCCAGGGAUCGAACCUGCGUUCUCAUGAUUACCAGUCAGAUUCGUUUCUGCUGAGCCAUGACAGGAAUUCCCAAACGGGCAUCCUUGACUCUAUUUACCCCUCAUCCUUCCAUCAGUGAAACUGCUCUGUUCCCGCAUCCUGCCCUUCUCACCACCUUGUCCAGCCCCAUCUUUGAUCCCUGGGACCAGCCCCCUGUGUGGUCCUGGACUCCUCACUUCCGCUCUCACAGGUUCAUCCCUGUGAGGUGGCCAGAGUCAGACUCAUCCUCCCUCUCUCCAGAACCCUCUAUGGCUCCCAUCUCCCUUGGGGUCAAAGCCCUGGCGGCAUUGCUGCUCCUGCUUCCUUUCCCCUCUUACCACACUCAGGCUGAAUCAACCUCCUCCAAGUGGAGGAGUCAGACACUCUCCUGCCUCAGGGACUUGGCACAGGCUGCGCCUCUGCCUGGCACCAUCUUCUCUGAGACACUCAGAUGUUCCCCCACCUCCUUCACUCUCAGCUCAAAUGCCAUUCCCACCCACGUGCUCUUCCUUCCUCCCUUACCAUCAGGAGCCAAGCUUUUGUUUUCGGUAGUGUCAACAUGGUAUGCUUACAAACAACCACACUCCAAGUCAGAGUCAUUUAUCAGAUGCAUCCUGUGUGCCAGGCCCAGGGCUGGUGGCUGGGGACACAGCUAGGGACAAUCUGAGACAUCUCUGCCCUUGUGGGCCUCAUCAGGAUGGAAGAUGGACAGUACGGAUAAAGUGGAACACAAGACCUGAUGUGGCAGAGGAAGGGUCUUUCCAGAUCAGGUGUAUUGGAUCCACUGUCUGACUGCCUUGCAACCCCUGCAUCUUCCUGAGGCCUCCAGUCUGAAGAAGCAGCCACGUGAGAACCCAGCAAGAAGGGAGCCAUCUGCCAGUCAGAAAGCGAGCUUUCACCAGACUCCAGAUCUGCUGGCACCUUGAUCUGGGCUACUCAGCCUCCAGAACCCUCCAGAACAAUGACAAUCUCCACACCAUCCAGGCUGCCUUAGAGCCCAGCGAAUAUUCAAACAAGUCCUCGCAUAUGCAUGACCGCAGCAGUGCUGUCGUGAAAAAUUACCAAGCCACAAUCACCAAAACAUGGAAACAGUCCAAGAGGAAAACAAUCUAAGAUCAACUCCAAAAUCAAGGGGAUGGGGGUGGAGGAAAUGAGUGGAUUAAUCAAAUGUGGCUCGGGAGUUCCCAUUGUGGCACAGUGGAAAUGAAUCCAACCAGGAACCAUGAGGAUGCAGGUUCGAUCCCAGUCCCUCCCUGCCCAUUGAGUUAAGGAUCCAGCGUUGCUGUGA